AUUUUGGUCAACAGUAGACCACAUGUUGAUAGUGGUCCCAUAACAUCAUAUCACGUGUAACAUCUAGCUAUCUCGGUUUGUGUAAAUAAAUACACUCUAUGAUGUUCACAGAAUGAUGAAUUAUCUAAUGAUACACUUUUUACAUUCCCCAUAUUAAGUGAUGCAUAACUGUAUGUAUUUCUCAAGCAGAUCACUGGCAAUUCAUAACAGACAUCGUAUAGCCAUUUUACCAUGAAGAAAUUAUAAAUCUUUGGUUAAUUGUCAAAUAAGUAACUCUGUAGUCGACAGAAAAGAGUUUUCUCUUUUCUCCAUGAAGAGCAGUUAUAAGAAUAAUAAAUUUUUUACCAAAGCAAAAAUUGUACUGGAGAAAGCUCAACAGGCGAAGAAGACUUUGUUCUGGCUACUGAAGUAGAGGAGAAAGACCAGAACUGAGUGUUACUCAACUCUCCUAAAACAAAGAACAGAAAAGAUAUUGGGCAACAGUUUCUAUCUGUAGAAGUCCUUCAGAGCCCCAGUCUCAUUGACAGGAAGACAUUAACCUUGGUUCUUCCCACUUGAAAUAAUUUGCAUCUGAAUUAUAAGUUUCCAGAAAUGGAAUUAUCAAAGUGAGCCUACAUAAAAGCCAAGAGGUCUAAGGAAGUUUGUAAGUGAUGUACAAGCUUCCAUGAAGAUGGCUCUACACUUUCCCCAUGGCUGUUUGGACCCCUGGGAGACAGACUGAGCCAAUCAUCUUUCCUGGCCAUUUGGAAUUGGGUCUCAGAAUUAUGAAUACCAAGGGGCAUGUGGAAAUCCAGAAGUCAUGGAGUGGCCACUUGUGGUCCUUGGAAUCACAAGUGGCCCUCUUCUACAGGGGUGAAGUGAGGCAGAGAAUAAAGUUCUGCAGAGAGGGAAGAAUUAAAUAAUUAAUCAAAGAGAAGCAGAGGUGAUGGACUAAGCUUUACUUUUCUAUGUUCAAUGGAUGCUGACAAAAGUUGGCUUUGUGCAGUGUUUCUAUGAGGCAAUGAGGCCAAGCGUUUUUAUUCCCAAGGAUGAAAUGGAAAUGAUGGAGUCAAUAAGUAAGCGCUCUCAGAAGACUGGAAGAGGGACCUCUCCUUUAGCAGUGGAGGUGUGGCUUUUCUUUCCCAAUGGGCCAAAUCAAAAGUGUGGAAAGGCCAACACCUGGGCUUUGGUGGUAGUCUUGCCCACCUGCUGCCACCAUGGGCCUGGCCCCUGAGAUCCUGCUUCUCCAUCUGGAGCUCAGGUCAUAUUCCAGAGUCAUUUCAAGAUGGGCCUCAUUGUUUGGGGAGGUCUCUCCAAGUUUCUGCUCUUUGUGUUUACAACAUCAACUGAAGUCAUAUUUUAAGCGUGAAGGUGGUGGAAAACUGGACAGUCUCUGUGUUCUGACCUACAGAGAAGGACGUGAACUUGAGAGCCAUUCUUCUACGUUUGCUUUUCUCCUGGGCUAGGAGCACUCGGAACCACAGGGCGCGGGCUGGGUGGGGUCAGCAGGGGCCGGCGGGGUCAGCGGGCGCACACACAUUCCCGUCAUGCUCUGCUGUCUCGGUCCGGCUUCGCCCUCGACGCUGACUCUGCCACGAAGCAGUAUGGGCUGCGUUCCCAGGCUCCCAGAAAAGUUAGUAUCCCGCUCAGUGGUUUGUUUGAAAGUUUGAAUUUAGUUGUGUGACUCAAGCCACUAGUUGCCUGACUUUUGUCAGUCGUGGCUCUGAGGGAAUUUUGGAGCGCGUGAGAGAUUCUCUCAAUAUUGUAACACGGGAAGCCUUUCUGUUGAUUUUAUUGUAAUUUGUAUGGUUUCCCAAGGGGUUUGGCAGCUUAGCGGUGGUCUGGGUCUUUGAGUAAUAUAAAGCUGCCAUGGAUGUGGCUAAAUAAUACCUUAGGCAUGUGGUUUAUGGCCUGGGAACCUAGCUGUGUGUGCUUUGUAUUUUACUGCCAACCAGAAAUCUUGAGGGAAUCACUAGCUCAUCAACGUAGCGUUUCUCUCUGACCCUUGAUAUUCCAGCUGGCUUUUGAAAAUUACGACCACUUAACAGCUUUUGGCAGUCUCUGUGUGGAGGCGACUGAAAGGGAUAAAUUGUGUGAAAAUUGUCACCAUACUUGGCAUUUGAGGCCACUGUCUCAGAAGAGUAGCUGUUGUACAAAUGAUCUGCUUUGUCAAGAGCUGGCGGAAAAUAAAGAUGAGCUUCUAGAUGUUAUUAGGUUGCUGAAAGUCAAGCUCUGGGGAAACAUCAGUGAGAUCAGGAAGUCAAAUAUAUUGUAGAGAUGAAACGAUUGAAGUGGAAGUGCCCAUUAUUUCAGUGAAAUCCAAGAAGUUGGUAGCAGGAAACAGGUUUUUUUAAACCUUUUGUUUGGAAAUACUCAUAGAUUCACAGAAAUCUGCAAAAAAUAUACAGAGGUGAAUAUACCUUUCACUCUACAAUGUCUUGUGUAACUAUAGUAUAGUUGCAAAACCAAGAAGUGAGACAAAGUGCUUUUAAGAAAGCUGUGUGACCACCCAUUCAGAGAAUGAAAUCAUAUUCAUAUUCAGAAAUAGCAUCAUUUUUUUUUCUAAGACCUUACUUUGUGUCCGUAGUCGUUUGUCAUUUAAUAAGGUGGAUACAUUCUGAGAACUGCAGUGUUAGACGAUUUUAUCAUUGUGUGAACAUCACGGCGUAUAUUUAUACAAACCUAGAUAGCACAGUCUGUUAUACACUUAGUAUAAUUGUUAUAUUGUAUAUCCUGUUGCUCCUAAGCUACAAACCUGCUAAUCAUGUGCAGUAAAAACAUGUGCUAGAAGAUAUUUUUAAUCUCUGUUAUGGGACCACCAUCAAAUGUGCUGUCAUUUGUUAAAACAUUGGUUUGCAGCUCCAAUGUAUAGGACACUGGAAAUAUAAACAAUUCAGCUCUGAUUCCUUCCUUCAGGGAGUUACAGAAUAAUUAGAGAGACUGAUAUUAAAUAAGUAAUUAUACAGAUAAUUCAUCAGUUACAAUCUUGAUAAUUGCUAUGAAAUGAAAAUAUACUCAAAAGAGAAAUUGAUUUCAUGAAAAGACCUUAAAAGUUUCCAGAUGUUUAGGAGCCUUAUUUAAAGAUUUUCCAGAGUCUACAGUAGCUGCAACUUUAAAGUUUACUCUUACUAUAAAAUUUAUAAUUGUGCCCCUGCCAUUGGUCUGCAGAAGCCAAGUAUGUCUUGGAAUUCAUGGGCAUUGAUGACUGUCCCCAAAUGGCAGCUUAUGAAUACAUUACUAACAUAUACCAAUAAUUUGGCUGCAGAAAGAGAACUGGACUUCAGGAAUCUGUACCUUAAUAUCACCAGCAGUUGGAAGUGAUAAACCUAAAAUAGAUGUCUAACAAGUGGAGGGAUUCUUGAAAACUGGCUGUGUUCGAUGAGACUCUAAAACAUCUUUUCAGUUGUAAAAUUUCCUGCCUUUGGUUUGAGAGGGCAGCUUUGGCAAGGCACACAGAAUUCAAAUGCACAAGACUUGUUCAUGUGGCUCAGUGAUAUGAUCUAAUUUGGAAUCCUUAUGGUUUAAGUGAAGAGAGGAACAAUUAGAUUUAUGUUCCCUGUUGAGCACAAGACAUGGUAUCCAGGCAACUCAAGCUGAAUGCACAUAAGAUAGCGACCUUACCCACCUACUUGGUAAACUCUACACAGGUGGCGGAAAUAAUACCUGGAUAAAUAUCCCUGGUCACUUAGGACAUUUUCUUUAUAUCAACAUUUGCUGUAGGAGGUUCUCAUAUCUCCUGGUUUUUCCAGACAAACAGUAUGUUUCAGACAAGAAGUGGGAAACAAACGUUUGCCAGAAGUUUCUGGGGAGUAGCUGGCCUUAGCAGUGCUGUGCAUGGCCAAGUUAGCACACCUAUUGUCAGCUCCAGUUUUGUAAGAUGUCGUGAAUUAGGGUACCUGUCCAAGAAAUACAUAAUAUUUAGAAGUGCUGACUUGGUAUUUACUCAAGUGGAGCGUCUUUUGUGAUUUUUCAUUACUCAUUUGAUGUUCUGCGUCAUUGGUCACUGAGCCUUUCAGUAUAGAAGCAAGAGCAUUAGUUUGAGUGCUGCACUUGACCACCUGAACAUUCAUUCCAGUAAUUGGCUUCCAUCACAACUGUAAAUAAAACCGAGGAAAAAGUCUCACAGAAUCCAAAUUGCCCUCAAUCUUUCUUUUCCUUAUGGGGAAAUCUCAGGAUUGACAGCCCUCUUGAUGUUAAUUUAUUUGUUGAAUUUUACUUUUAUUAAAAGUUUACAACUUUAAAUAAUUUUUUUUCAGAAUGUUAGAUUUAGUUUGGGAGACUUUUUUGGUAAUGUUAAUGAUUCAAAUCAGGGCCUCUCAACUGAGCUGAACUAUGGCCCCAGCCUUUACAUUUUAAAAUUUUUCAGUCAGAGUGUCACUAAGCUGCUCAAUGCCUUGAACUUGUGAUCCUCCUGUCUCAGCUCCUGAGUAGCUGGGGUUACAAACAUGCAGUAUUGUAUCGGGUUGACAAAUUGUUAUUUUUAAUGAACUCUCGUGACUGGAAGAGAGUGCUCUUGACACUGAAGCCACAUGUACCAGUUCUAGAGGACUGGACUGGCUCUUGGAGCAAGGGUCAAAGUCACCCCCAGGGCUUUGCAUUGUGUCCUGCACACAUCUAUCUCCAGGUGCACACUGGCUGCAUUUGCUGUUGGAAACUUGCAGCUGGAUGGUGUAGGUUUUAGGGGCUGGGCUUUGGAAGAUAUAGAUCUGAUUUUUCAUCCUAUCUCUGCCACUUACUUCUCUGAGUCCUUGGGCAAGUAGUGGUCUGUACCUUGGUCUCAUCUGAGAAAUGAGACCUACCACAGAGUUGGAAAAAUUAUUAAGAUAAUAUUGAGAACUUUGAACAGGACCUGAGGUAUGUUUCCUUGUGGAUUGCCUGUCUCCCUAGUUGGAAUAUAAGCCUCACAAGGACAAGGAUUUGUCUCAUUGUUGUGACGCAAUGCAGGGGACAUAGAGGGUGCUCCACAAGUAUUCACCAGAUUAAUGAAUAAAAAAAGUUAUAUGUUUUUCUGUAUUACUAUAAAGUGAGAGAGAACGGUUUAAAUAUUUGAGGAAUAGAGACAAGACAAUUAUAAGAUCAAAUUAUUGGAGAAAGAUAUAUCCCCAUGAAUUAUCUAUCUAUAUUUUACUUUUGGGCAUCAAUUCCACAUUUAAGUAAAUUUAUAAUUUUAGCUGAGAAGUCAUAACUCCUUUCUCUAGAUAAUGGUUUUAAUGAUUCCUGAGAGAAAGUGGUAUAGCCAUUUUUGAUCUUUGAUUAAUAUGCAUAUACAUUUAAUAUAAUUAUGUGGGGUUUUUCUGAUUCCUUACUGAAUAUGGCAGAUUUUCCAUUCUUCUUUUUCUUUUUUUCAUUUCUUAUUUAUUGCUGUCUUACUCUGCCUCUAAGAUAAAACACUAUAAUGCUUUAAAAAUAUAUCUGAGAAUCAAUAGUGUAGAGAAUGUUAGCUUGUCAGGGAAAAAUUUGAAUGUCAAAAUAUUGCUUUUCUUUAGGAGUUACGCAGAGUUUAAAUUCCAUAGGCAAUUAUUAAUUACAUUAUCUCCAAACUGCCAAAAUCUGGUUUCAACUAGGAAUCAAUUUAGAGGACCAGUAUGUGUCUGCUAGGAAUGAGGUGGGCACUGAGUGAUAUUUUGCCAGUUUUAGGGACAGGUCAUUCACCUACCACCAGAUGGCAAAGUUACUCCAUCAGAUUUCAGGAGAGCUUUUGUUAAAACAGGUUUGUCACUUUUGUGAACUGGAUGGUUCACAUUUUUGUGGAUGCAGAAAAGAGAGCAACUCAUGAGGGCCUGUGUUUUAAAAUUUUAUGUAGGAAUUAAAGUACAAAUUGUUACAGAUUCUGGUACUAUUUGUACACAUAAAAUAUCUAAAGGGUUAUUAUGGUUUUUUUAACCCAUAAGAGAAUGGUGUUGACAGGUAAAUUGGAUGCCCCCCCCCACACCUUAAGGUGAACUUCGAUUUCCCUCUUUAUAACUUCUAACCUUCUGUCUUUCUAAGUCAUUCCACCCACCUGUUCUUUGUGGGAUCAUAGUAAUAGGAUAAUAAUUAAGAGCAAGAGUGUUAGAGACCAACAUCUCUGUGAUUAAGUCCAAACUAUUCCAUUUGGGUGAGCCAUGUAACCUCUUCAUGCUUCAGGUUUCCACAAAGUCAAAGUGCCUACUUCAUGGAAUGGCUGGUGUGGAUAAGGCAGUAUAGCUGAUGCCCCUGUCUGGCACCUAUGGGUGCUCACAUUAGGGUGUGUUCUGUUAGCUGCAAUACAUUUUACUCACCAUAUGUUAUCCUUGGGUGAAAAAGGCAUGUGAAUGCAAUAUUUUAUAUCCCUCUCUGAGACAUUAAAAUUUCAAACUACAGUAAAGUAUGACUUAGCUAUGGCACCUUUGCCUGUUCCUCCUCACUCCUACCUUCAUCCUUUGGAUAGGCUAAAUCACCGGCUUUCAGCAGUGGGGUGUGCGUGUGUGGGUUGAUGUUCCCUCCCCAGAGAACAUUUGGUAAUGUUUGGAGACACUUUUGGUUGCCACAAUUGUGGGAGGGAGUACGUAUUACUGACAUCUACUGUGUAGAGCCUGGGAAUGUGGUUAAAUAUCCUAUAAUGCACAGGGCAGCCUCCCUGAAGCCCAGAAUUAUCUGGUGCCAAAUAUCAAUAGUGCUGAGAUUGAGAAACACUGGGCUAAAUAGUACUCAGAAGAAGGAAGAUUUCUUGUCUUUGGUAUAGGCAAUUCAACUAGAUUAAAUUUCAAACAUAUACUAAUCAGGACUUAUACUAGAAUUGGGGAUCUAAGGAUUAAAAAGACAUAAAUCCAGGAUCUGUGAAGAGUCUGCAUUUUUUUUUUUUAACUUAUCAGUACUGUUUCAUGAUAGAAGACAUAAGACUCUGUGGUCAGAGAUAGGGAACUUUAUUAUUUGUGUGACAGCAAGCUGCACAAGCAUCAUGUUGGCAUCAUUUUCCUUGCUGCCCAAGGAAUGUGUGGGUGGACCUAGGUUGGUGUUAAGCAUGCAGUAAAUUUAUAUCAUAGCCGAAGAACCCUGAGCUUGGGGAAUCCACUGGUCUUACCAGAAAUGGUAAUCCUACUCUUUUUCCAGGGGGGUGGAGGCAAGAUUCCCUUCAUCAAUCUAUGGUGUAAAAAUUAUAGACAAGGGUAUUUCAGAUUAUUGAAAAAGCUUCAUAGAGGAAGAAAUAACUGGAUUUUGAAGGUUUAAUAGGAUUUUAUCCCAAAAAUAAGGCAGAAAAGGUUGUCCCAGAACCAGGAAUAGAAUGGGUAAAAGGCACAGACAUAUAAUCCACCAUGGGGUUUGGAGGGGUGUUGUAAAAGAGUAAGCCACACAGGUAGAGAGAGAGAGAUGGCUUAUGCAUUUAGUGGAGUGGUCAGUGGGUGUAUCUAGCCUGUUGAGUUCCUCAGAAGUAGGCUGAGAGUAGGAACAUCUUUUACUGUAAGCUGUGAGGGCAUAAAAUUGAGGGGAAUGAAAGAUUUUGUCAUGGGAAUAAUUGCCAUUCCAAACUCUGUAUAAAGUGUUAUUUGAUAUAAAGGAUUACAAGGAGGUAGAAGAGAAUCAAAGGUUCUGGUGAUACUGAGGAUCCUCUAAGAGAGGCUUUUCUUUUAUUGCCACCAUUAAGUUACCUUCCCUCCAGAGCAUCUCAACAUAGGUUAUGUGGGGACAGGGAGGACUCUGCAAAGACCUGGUUGAGUUUGAACAACUAGUGAGCGCAUGUGGACUUUUAAAACUAUGUCAUGCAACUAUAAACUUAGAUACGACAAUGAGCACAUGAGCUACAUUUCUACAAGAUGAUUUUUUUCCGUACUGUAGCUGUGAACCUUUAGUGCUGUGUGGGACCCAGUCUUCUGCACCAGUAGACCCUACUCAACAUAUGUUACUUGUUAGGGCAAGGCUGACAGACUAGAAAGCAGGUCAUGCUGGAUCAUUUACAAGAAAAUUUGGGGGAGUUUAUGGGUUCAAAGAAUGAUGUGUCUAAUGCUAAGCGCAAGAGUAAUUUGGGUAAAUAGCAGAGCACAGUCCCUUUAUUGCCCGUGGUGGGCAUCAUCUUGGCAGUUAAAAAUUGGCCACAAUGGAUAUGUUUGCACAAGGAAAUUGGCCAAUGCUGCAAUCAAGGAUUAUUUUGCUUAUCUAGUCACAAAAUGAUAGACAAAAUGUUAAUAAUGCAGACCGAAAUUAAAGGUUUAUCACAUCAGUGGCUGUUGCAUUGUGAAUAACACCAAAAUUGAG
This 8190-nucleotide long non-coding RNA is filed under the name Heterocephalus glaber (naked mole-rat). Its description in RNAcentral is "lncRNA (ENSHGLG00000035943.1)". Lineage: Eukaryota; Metazoa; Chordata; Mammalia; Rodentia; Bathyergidae. The record is from RNAcentral.